CCUAUUUUACGAGAGUUGACAGGCAGGUACUGGGUCACAGGAUUCUUGAUUACACGCAAAAGCUUCUCACGCUUACCAACAGCAGUUAUACUCAGUUUCUGAAGCAGCUGCAACAUAAUUCCAGCAAAUCGUUUAUAUGUCCUUGGUAUACGCACAUGUGGUUUAACUUCAAAAAGAACACCCUUAUCUGUUUUCACAUACACAGCUCGCAACCUCCCAGCCUUAUUUACUGGACUAUCUAAUAUUGAUAGGAGAGCCUGAUAAACAAUAUCAGGCCUAUAAUCAGCUGGAUUUUUGUUAUUUUUCCGCAAGAAAUUUGCAUGAUCGUCAGAAUUCAAAAUCUGGUAACUCUUUCCAACUUUAGCAACUUCCAAAGAGGCCCUCUCAAGCACAAAUAUAAGCCCAGGCUUUUUUGUUUUUAAAUCACUUGGAACAAUUGGGAUGCCUGCCAUUUCAUGUGUUUGCCCUUCUAAUUCUUCUUCUUCCUUCCCGCUGGUUUCCAUAGCCAUUUCUUUUUCUUCAACCAUAGCUCUUUUCGCU
Molecule: unclassified non-coding RNA, 540 nt
Filed under: Hevea brasiliensis (rubber tree)
Lineage: Eukaryota; Viridiplantae; Streptophyta; Magnoliopsida; Malpighiales; Euphorbiaceae
Source: RNAcentral